Molecule: signal recognition particle RNA, 305 nt
Filed under: Eucalyptus grandis
Lineage: Eukaryota; Viridiplantae; Streptophyta; Magnoliopsida; Myrtales; Myrtaceae
Description: Plant signal recognition particle RNA
Rfam family: Plant signal recognition particle RNA
Source: Rfam by way of RNAcentral
GCCGAGCCUGGUUGCGCGGGCUUGUAACCCGAGUGGGGGCAACAUUGUGGUGGAACAUUUGCUUAGCUCCUGCGGGCCGGGCUCGCUGUGGCUUUGUUCUGGCCCGCCCAUUCCAAGCCGAGAGUUGAUCCGUGCGGUCCGGGCGAAGGCUUGGGCCACGCGGGUCCUAGAGUGGAGGGGCCCGCGUGAGGCUGGCUUCACAGAGCAGCGAAAACCUCCCGCUCUCGACAGUGGAAGGAUAACGGGCCGGUGUCUCUCGGGCCCAUCGUGACCCAAUGGGCUAAGCCUACUGAACCACCACUUUU